Molecule: RNA transcript, 10129 nt
Organism: Neofelis nebulosa (Clouded leopard)
Lineage: Eukaryota; Metazoa; Chordata; Mammalia; Carnivora; Felidae
Exons: 13
Source: RefSeq, a predicted model, not a curated record
CGACGGCAGACCCGGAAGUUCGUCACAACUCUCUGCUAGGUGGCCCGAUGGGUCUCUGAGGAGCCGAGACGCCGGAGUCUUAGAGCCUCGCUAUAUGGUGAGUCCACACAGAGAGCUGAGCUUUCUCACAACAUGGCGGCUCCGGGGCAGUCAGACGACAUACAAGGGGGCCGAAGAUGUCCGGAACAGGUAUUCUGACUAACAAGCUGGCAGCUGCAUGGCCCUCUACAACCCGGUCUCAGAAGUCAGGCGGCCCUUCUGUUGGCUACCAGCGAGUCACAGGCGCAAGGUUCUAGAAGAGCGCGUGGAGUGAGAGACGUUGUCGUGACCGUCUGAGGAGCCUAAAAUCUGCUACAGAUGCACCUGGCCUUUUCUAAGAGUAACCAGUUGGUUGUCUGCAAAGGUGUGACUGAAGAGUUUAGGACAGAGCAAAAGCCAGAGUUUCGGAGGAAGUCUGGUCGGGAGGAGGCCUGGGCCGUGAUCGUGGUUUAUCAAGGGAAAUCUGCUCAGAGGAGUGAAUGAACUUGUGGGGAGGGGAGAGUCACAGAGCCAGAGGCCUGGUGUUGUCCAGGGCGCGGGCUCUUGGCCGCACUGGCCGGAGCAGCAGCCACCGCCCCCCGCCAUGUCCCUGGGCAAGGCCGUCCCCUCAAGCCGCCUCUGCUGAGAAAUGCUUCUUCUGAAUAAUACCGUUAUUUGUUCCCACUCCCUCCCACCAAGCAGCCCCGCAAGACCAUGGACCCGUACGCAGCUUUCGCUGCCGGGAAGCAUAGGCUGGUCAGGCUAACAUUUCUUGUGCUCUCCGUUAGUAGAUGGAUCGUCUGGUGAUGUGUCAGCCUCACAAGAUUGGCUAAGGGGAGUCUGGCCCUGCCUGGCGCGCGGGCGUAUCCCAGACUGUUCUGACGGAUUCACCAAGGUCGGCUGGUGGGGAUCUGUCCGUGUGGCCGGCGCUUUUUCCGGCGCGCAUCCACCUGCACCUCCUCGUGUGCCUUCUGUGAACCACCACGGGGGUUAUCACCCCACUUUCUAGAUGAGAAGGCCGAGGUGCAGUGAGGAGGCACGUUUUGCCCGCGGUCAGGCCGCCGGUAAAGGUGCAGUUGGGACAGCGGUCCAGGUGCGCGGGCAAACCGCAAACCCUCUUCACGAAGGUCGGGGCACGCACCUGAUGGCAAACCUGUCGGACGGUGUGCUGGGAGGAAGGGAAGCCUUGAGUCACCAGCUCACGCCAGCCUCCUAAGAGCCCUGUGGCCCCAACAAAUUCGUAAAAAUAGAAAACCUGGAGGGAUUAAAGCCCCAAAGGACGCUUCAAGUCCCCCGCGGGAAAGGGAGGCUUGCCGUAUGUUCUGAUGGUCUGCAUUCAAAUUUAUUUUUUUUUUUAUCUCAGCUGGAUGUACACUCACCCAUCACAGGAUCAGCUCUCAGAAUAGAGAGGUACCUGUUGAAUCAUCCACCCCACUUCCUGCCUCAUGCGGGCAUCUCUCCAAGUGCUGAGCCAUCCGCUUCUCUGCUGGGGCCUGAGAUAUAUCAGGAUUUGCAGCCCUGGUGACAGGAGACAAAAUAGACUCCCAUUUCCUUUGGAACCAUUUAGCUAGUUGAGAGAGUGCUUGAUUGUUUCAAUGGGAUGAGCAAUGAGCGAUAACCAGGUCUCUCCUUGGCUCCUUCUCUCUGCCCUGUGCUUGCUCUUCUUCCGGAAGCUGGGAGGUGGUGGGGACAAAGGCACACACUGGUUUUGGCUCAGUCUGGCUCUUGAGCUACUAGGCGCCCCUCCCGGGACCUCAGGCCCACUUUCUGCAACACGGACGUCGUUCUCUUUCCUUCUGCCCGCCCUGGCUCCCGCUGGCCUUAGGACUAGAAACUGUGCCUGGUGGGUGCCUGCAGAGACUUGUUGGGGCUAAGUGACUGCAGGUGAUAUUUAAGGAGGUCUCAUGGGAGAUACGGCUUCGAGGCAAUGAAAAACAGACAUCCGUGGGGACAGACUGUCUGAAUUUGAAUCCAGGUCACCACUAGCUUCAUGGCCUUGGGCAAGUCAGGCAACUGAGUCUCAGCUUCCUCGUCUGUUAAAUGGGUGGAAUCAGAGGAAGUAGGUAGUGAGAAUUAAGUCAGAUAAUAUGUACAGUGCUUGAGAGAGUGCCUGGUGUGCAGUAAGCCCUUAAUCCAGGCCAGCUGAAUUAGCAUGGUCACCAGAAGCCUGUGGGGCUUUGACUGGAGCGAUCGAUGGCCACUUGUGGGGACCCAGGCCCUGAGUUGGCCACUCAGAGUUCAGAGAGAGAACCAGUCAUGAGCUCAAGUAGCUCAAAGUCUAGUGGGAAAGCAGAUGUGGCUGAUGCAGGGGUGCUUAACGAAAUAUGUUUUGAGUAGACUUUUAGAAAGCAGAUUUCACAUGGAAAUCCAGAUUUGUGGCUUCUCUUAUGAUCUAGCAACACUGGGUUGGCUUUCCUGCACGGUGAUAAGAAGCCGGAGCAGAAUAAGUGUUGUAGCCUAGGCCAGGGUUUCUCUACUUUGCCCCAGUCCCCACUCUUCCCUCCUGCAUCCUGUCCGCCCGUAUUCGUGUUCAAGUGUGCUUGCUGCCUGGCCCUUUGGGAAUUUGCAGACAGAUUACAAUGCAAUGCUGUGAAUGCACCGGGAGCACGAUGAGGGAUAAUAACUCAUCCGUGGGCAGUCGGGAAGAGCUUCCCAAAGGAGCCGAAGUCCCAGUUGCCUCUCUGUAAUACCCGCCAAUGCUGCAGAACAUCCUUGUCUUUAUGGCUCAAGGAUGUGAAUAGAGGACACAAAGUCCUCCGAGCUGGCGGGAUCUCUGCCAUAAAGCAACCAAGGCUCAGUGGCUUGUGUGGUCAUACAGCCACCUCGUGGCACAUCCAGGCUGUCAAUCAGAAGCAGCCGUAGGCCUCGGGAGUCUGCAGUUUGUACUCUGGGAUCUUGAUUCCCUCUCUGCCACCCUCCUGCGGCGUGGCCAUGGGUAACUCAUUUCAUCUUCAACCUCGGUUUCUUCAUCUGUAGGGUAGGGCUGGGGAUUCUGACCUCAAGGGAGUGCUCUGGGGCCAGAUAGUGAGAAAAUGGGUAGGGGACACUCAUAAGCUCCGAAGCGCUCUAGGCCUGUGAGAGGCAUCACGAUGGUGGAGAAAUAGCCACCUUCUUCGAACAGAUUUGGCGCAUCUUUUCGAUGUUACGGGGACCUUGUCCCCCACCUGCUUUUGCCAUUCUCUCUCCUUUGCAUGUAGGAGCGUGCACAGCCUUCUUCCAGGCGUGGACCCAGAAAGGGAACGUUUUGGCCUUGGCUGUGAACAGGACUCCAGGCGCAGAGCCCAAGGGCUCCCCUCUUUCACGAGGCUCCCACAUCAAAAGGAGAUGCUGAGAUAGAGCUGGGAAGGAAGCCGACCUCCCUGGCAAAGAGGAGAAAUGUCGGUAGUUACUUUGUUUCCUUUAAGACACCUGCCGCUGCGCAUCAGGGGCUACCUUCAAUUCCCCGUUUAGUGCCUGGAACUAUUGAGACAACAUGGCGUUGUGGUCGACUACUGGAUUUGGGAGUCCCGCUGUCCUGAGUGCAAAUAUUGACUCCUCCUUAUUAGCUGAGUGUGCCUUUGGACCAAACUUUAAACUUCUCUAAACCUCAAUGUCUUCAUCUGCAAAAUGGGCUUCUUAAAAGUACCUGUUUUUUUAGAGCUUUGUAGGAGUUAAAUGACAUUACGUGGUGAAGGGUUUAGCAUAUAGUGAACAGCUUAAUAAAUGCCGGAUAUGAAUUGCUGUUAUUGGAAAUGGUAAUAAGAAACGUACAUCAUGUUUGUACAGCGUUUUACCGUUUAGGAACUGGUCGUGUUUUCCUUAGCCCAUUUGACAUUCCCAACAACUCUUUGAGGUGGUCAGGGCAGGGAUUAUGACCUCGUUGCACAGGUGAGAAAACCGGAGCCCAGGGAGGGCAGAAGUCUGCUCAAGGUCACACAGCUUGUGAGUGGUAGAGCCAAGCUCAAGUCUCCCUGGAUGAAGGAUGAGCAGUGUCAUUCGCAGGGCCGGGCAGACCACCUGCACGUGCCGUCGGGCUGCUCCUUGGGCACUCUGGUUCUUCCAAAGACCCGUUUAUAGAGAAAUAAUCCAGUGGGUUUACCUAUUUAAACCCUUGUCGUACCUAUUUAUACGCUGAGCCUAUACCAGCUCCGGGGGCGAAGAAACUUGUCCUUGUGCCCUGGUGUCAGACUGACUUUCUUGGCGUCUGUCCCCAAAUGACCUCCGCGGGGGUUUCCAGCUGCCCCCUCGCACCCUGAUCCGUUUACCAGAAUAGCCAUGUGUUCUGAGUUCUGGCCACAGGAUGGCGCUGCUCCCCAAGGCAUGAAAUGUCCAGCCCCUCACCAGGACUGCAUUUCCAGGAGUUACAGGAGGUUGGGACCGCGUCUGUCUUGAUUACCACCAUCUCCAGCAUCGAGCACAGAACAGCACGUAAUGGGAGCUGAAUGAAUGAAUGACUGGAAAGCAUCAGGAUGGUCCUCUAAUGCCUCUGGGAAUCAGGCUGGGGCAUCACCAGGAAGGAGGACUCAAAUGCCUUCGCCAGGGAGCAGUACCUUUCACUGCGUGGCAACAGAGAAGCUUGUGGCAGAGUAAAGAGAGCCAGGCCUCUGCAAUGGGCAGCCUGUGGGACUCUCAGCAAUCACCCGGCCAUGGGUAAUUACCUACCCUCGCUGCACUUCUGUUUCCUCACUUGCCGGACUGGGACCCCCGUCUCCACAAGAGAGGGCUGCAGAGCCCAGAGAGGGGAGGAUCCGACUCUUUGAUCUCUGCUGGAUCUCCGGCACCCGGCACAGUGCCUGGCUGGGUGUAGAUAGUAGUUUUUGAAUGAACAAGUGCAGAGUGUGUCCAGGGAUUAACAUUGUGAAAAUGGGCCUGGUCCAUUGUAGGUGUUUGAUAAAGGGAGACUUCAAAUGCAGGAUUCUUGUAACAAGACCAGAGCUGGAAGAUUUCCUGAAGUGGGGGAAAGAAAAGCGCUCCCUGCCUGGCUGGAAUUGCUGUGUGUAUGAUGCCCUGCAGAGAGAGAGAAGAGAGCAGGCUGGAUGCCUUCCAAAAAUCAGAAGGGAAGCUGAUUCCUACUUGGGAGGGUGUUAAAAUCUUAAGAGCAAGGCCAACAGACCGAGGGGAGAAAGUGAAGGAGAGAGAGAAAUGUGUGAGCAUCUUUUCCAUUUUUUUUUUUUUUCUGUUUUCUUACAGCCAAAUGCCUGGAAACCUGCGGCAUCUGGCAAUUCCCUGGCCGCAGCGCAUAGUAAGCACUCAGGAAAUAGUUGAGCCACUUGGAGCUUUAUGAUGUUUUAGGACUCCUCAAGUGCAUGCGUUUAUGACAGAAUAGUUCCUGUAAGGACAAUUUCGGCGCUCCUACCCGAGGUCUUGGUUAAGUAAUUCAAGUCUGGACCAAGUGAAGCUUUCCUCCACCCCUUCAGCAAUUGCUAGCUUCUUGACGUCCUGGCCAUCAGUUUGGUUAGGUCCUAUUUUGGUACCCCACUCCCCUCGACGUGGUAAUUCACAGUUUACAUUUUGUCUCCCUUCCUUGGCCAGAAGACUCUGGAGGAUAGGGACCAGCUAUGUUUUAUUGUUCUUUAUAGAUUCAGCCCAGAGCUAAGACCAUACCUGCUGGCACAUAAUCAGUACAUGUUUUUUGAACAAAUGAAGGAGGCUUACCAAUGGCCGUGAUUUACUUAAGACUUCCAGAUCUCUCUUUAGCUAGGUCCACACCAAGGGCUACCGGAAACAUUCAAGCAGCAUAGGAUGGAACAGUCUGACAGAUAGACUCUUAACUUGUUACCUCUGGGAACUAAUUUAACUUAGGAGCUGAACGUACCCAGGAAAUGGUGCUGGGCUCUUGCAAUUGACUUUCUUAUAAAUGAUUCAGGGACUGGAAAGGCUGCAUACUGGUGUGUGUGCUCAUGAUUCUAAGCUGGCCCCCAAAUUUAGACUCAUCCUUGACUCGUGUUAUUCUCAUAACCCACAUUCAAUCCACAGCAAAUCUUGUUGGUUUUACCUUAAACACACAGCCCAAAUCCAACCACUUCUCAUCACCCUCCCCAUCCCCCAGUGUAAGCCGCGUCCUCGCUCAUUGGGACUGGUAUAAUGGCCUCCUGACUGGCCUUCCUACUUCCACUCUGGCCCCUGUGGUCUGUUCCCCACCCACCAACCAGAUCACUACCCUCCUCCACUCAAAGCCCUCCAAAGGCUUCCACUGUGCUCAAGGCAAAAGUCAAAGAAAGUCCUUUCAGUCCGGCCCCUGCUGCCUCCCUAGCCUCCCCUAACUCCAGGAACUCUGGCCUGUUUGCACUUCCUCAAAUGCACAGAGAACAUUCCUGUUUCUCCUGCCACACGAGGCUCUGCCCCAGAUAUGUGGCUCUUCUCCUCACUUCCUUGAUGUUCUUCCCACUGAGGCCUCCCUUCUCCGGCCUCCCCUAAUCAGAUUGCUCCUCCCCUGGCUGCCCGUCCCCGGCCUUCUUCCCUAUUGAAUUCUCCAGAGCACUUACCUCCAUCUGACCUAUAUUCUGCUUUUUUGUUUGUUUCUUGUCUAUCUCCUGUAGCAUGAGGGCGCGUCACGAGGGGGAGGACGUUCAUUUGCUCUGCCCACCACUGCAGCCCAGCGCGGGGCACAGCGCCUGGCACAGAGAAGUGCCGGACAGCGACUGUGGAUAACGGGGGCCGCACCAUGUGGCACGAACCUCGUGGCGAGAUGACCGUGGAGCCGAGGCUUCUGGUUCCAGAAUAUCAAGCUGGCGCAGAGAUCUCUGGGACCCUAAUGAAGCAGGCAGAUGGUGAAAUCCUGGUAUGGUUCUGGUGCCCGGGGGCACAAAGCAAUUCUCAAAUUCUUGUCCUCUUCCAACUGCUCUCAGUGCCCACGGCCCUACAGAGAUUCAGUGAGACCAGGGACUGGCAUGGACUUUGUGCCUGCGGGGAAUGAGCCCAUAGACUUGUCAUUUCUAGGGGGCCGUCCAGAUGUCCCGCUUGGGCUGUCAUAUCACAUUCAUACCCAGGGCCUACCAUGUGCCAGACCCUGCCCGGGUACUGGGUACCCGGCCAGUGGCCAAAGCAGGAAUGUUCUGCCCUCAUGGAGCUUCCCGAUCCACGGCGGACGUUGACAGUGAACAAAGCAGAGCUGAUAAUCACAGCUGGGAUAGUGCCACAGAGGAAGUGGUCAAGCGCGUGGCUUUGCCAGAGAGGAGCUCCUGUCUGGAAGAAGAAAUACCACCCUGCCCGUGCUUUCGUUCCAGCCCAUUCUCACUCUCUGUCUGGGAAAAUCACAAGGAAACUCCACGUUUUGCUCCUGGAAUUCUUGCCAGCGUGAUUCAAGCCGAACGGAGCACAUGGCACCGAAUUCCCACACAAACAAAGACGUUGCCACUUUCAGCGCGGUGGCUUCCUUCCUUCUGCCGGCCCGGGCCCCCCAUCUUGCCCGGGCAAGAGGGGCAGAGUGCAUGCGGCCCGGUUCUCACCUACAAGGCCCCCCAUGUGUUCUCAUCUGGAAAAUGGAGAUGGUCACAGCACAAGAUGAUUAGAGGAUUAAGGGAGAUACAGUGAAAGUGCCGUGCAGCGCUCGGUAGACAGUGGGCGCUCAAUAGCUGCUGGCCACGAUGCUGAUGCCCUGUGUCGGUGUUAGCACAUGUUCUCGGAGCUCAGGCCUUCGCGGGGCCUUGCGUUCCUCGGCUAUAAGCCCCGUGACCGUGAGAUCAAUCGCUUUCGUGCUCGGCGCUCCCAGGCACUGCGUGUGAGAGCAGGAUUGAGUGGAGGCUCCCGUCCAAAUCCAGUGUCGAGAAAUGGAACAGGGAGCUGGGUGGACACAUCGAUUAGGCCCAUUCCUGGCUCGAGUGUGGCUCUCUCCAGUCCCCUCCCUGCAGGCUGGUGAGCAAAAUUCAGAUGCUGACCUCCUGAGAACACCCCUUAGGCUGAAACCUAUCGCCCCCUUUGUCAGAGAUUAUGUGAUCUCCAGGGAAGAAGAGGUGUGGCAUCUCACCUCUGCCACUUCUGAACUGAGUGACUUGGGACAGAGGACUCUCCCGUGCCUAAGAUGCCCUCGUCUACGAAUGGGGUUGAUAACUGCCCUCCAUGAAGGAUGUCGGGUGGGGGGGCUCGGCACCGACUCGAGUGUCAGGGGCUUGGCCGGGGUCUGUGCUUAAGAGCAGCUGCCCCUUCACCAGUGAUGCUGCUGUCCCCAAAUCUCUAAAUUUUAACUAGGGUCCCCCUUGUGAAGGCCUGGGUUAUCCCCACUGGAAACCUGUUUUGGGAACUAGCCCCCCUGCAUGUCACCGAGGGAAAUGGGCGUCAAAACUGAUGGCCCCCUAGGUGGGGGGGAGACCUGGCCCAGAACUUGUCACAGGAUGAGCACCUCUGGGAUGAGAGGCCAAGUGGCCUAAUGGGCCGGGGACUCAGACUGGCUGGAUUUGAGCAGUGUUUCCACGCUCACUCCCAGUGGGGCCUUGACAAGUUCCUUAACUGUUCUGAGCUUCGGUUUCUUCACCUGAAAAAUGGGUGUGAUGAUAUCCCUCUUUGUGAGACCAGAGAAUUAAUGGCAGCUUAUUAAUUAUAGUCUAAGGCACUAUUCUAAGCCACCCUGUGAGGUCAUCACAUCUAUAAAUAUCUUCACCUGACAGUUGGAGAAACUGAGGCACAGAGCGGUCACUAACUUGCUCAGGGCCGCUCGUUCAUCCCAUUUCCUGGUGCGGUCCCUGCUCCUUCCUCUACUCUCCUCACAUUUCCCCAAACUCGCCGGGCGAACCCACGCCUCUUGGCCUCUGUGUUCCUUCUGCCUGCAGUGACUGUUUCCCCACCUCUGCCUGACUCAAUCUGGUGUGUCCUUCAAGGCCCAGCUCAAGUGUCUCCUCCUCCAGGAAGCCCUCCUGCCAGGGCACUAGAGAGCAAAGCCCUGUAAUAUUAAUAAAUGGCGGCGAGAAGGGAAAAGUGACUGCUUCCUUUUGACAUGGCGAAGAUCACAGGGCCUGGAGGACCUUUAAUCUUUAUUAAUGUGUCUCAGGGGGGCCUCUCCCACAAGCUGUGGGAAGCAGACAUGCAACGAGUUUGCUUGCUCGCGGUCCUCAGCAUCCCUGGGCGCCUCAGAUGACUGCCUGAUACUGUUCAGAGUGCAGCAAAGCCACAUCACGGGGACCCGCUGUGUCCCAGGCAAGAACAAGGCAGCCCUAACCCAGCUCCCAUCUGUGGGGGGCUGGAUGACAAGGGAAAUUCAGGACACGGGCCUCAGUCACAUGGGCCCGCUUCUAACCAAGGGCACCGAUGCCCUGAAGAGGCUCAGAAGGAACCAGGCUGUCAGUUGCAGGGACGAGCACAAAUCAUGCCUAGGAGGGGCCACACCUGAGUCCAUUAAGGAGCACGUCCAAUAACCAACACCCUCAUUUCCAAGGGCUCUCCUCCGCACUGCCUGGCCAACCGCUUCUUUCCCGCCUCUCCUUCCCUCUGGCUGGGCUGUGCACCAGGGGGCCAAAAAGGUCUGUAACUUGACACGGUGCAGACCUAAUUCCACAGACCUAGUGAGUCAGGAAUUGCAAGGCGGGUUCGGAGCGCACAACAGAAUUGAAAAGUGUUAUAGUAAGGAUAGAAGAGCCAAGAAAGUUGCAGGGUCUCUCUGUCUCUCUCUCUCUCCUCUCUCUCUCUCUAUCUCUCUCUCUCUCUCUCACACACACACACACACACACUCACGUGCGCGCAUGCUGAGAAACCGAGAGGCAUAUUUUGACAUUCAUUCAUUCAAAAAUUCCGAAAACCACUCGGUGCUAAGCACUGUUCUGGGCACUGGGGAUCCAGUGAUGGGAAGGACCGCCAAAGUUCCUGUUCCCCCAGAGCUUAUGUUCAUCCCAGUGUUCUUGGGCGAGUUUCUCCAGUGGCCAGGAUGGUGCAGGUUAAUCUCAAAAGCCACGUUACAAGACAGAGGGGGCGGGCACCAUUUGUACCCUCACUUUCCGGACACGGGAUCUAAGCUCAGGUCAGAGGUCAGCCUGUCUGAGGCCACCCGCUAGGGUGGGGGACCAGGAUGGGAGCUUGGUUUCCAGGCCUUUUCUCUUUCUACUCACUGCUCAGAGGCCACGAGGAAGCCCGAGCUGAGAGGCCAGUGCUAUCUGGGAGGAAGAACCCGGUGAAGUGUGCUCAAAUAAAGCAUCACCUAAUUCGA